RNAcentral lists this ribosomal RNA (410 nucleotides) under Cyanopsitta spixii (Spix's macaw). RNAcentral's name for it is "partial 16S ribosomal RNA". The record is from RNAcentral. Lineage: Eukaryota; Metazoa; Chordata; Aves; Psittaciformes; Psittacidae.
GGGGGUACAGCCCCUUUAAAAAAGGAUACAACCUCCACCAGGGGAUAACCCCCAUGUACCUAGACUCGUGGGCCUUAAGACAGUCACCCCCAAAGGAUAGUGUCACAGCUCUAUUACCUAAAAAUCGCAACCACCUACCUGUGACUCCCUACAUCCAUUGUAGGCCAAUAUAUAUAGAUAAGUGAGUCCAAGCUAGAGUGAGUAGGAAGGAAUGUCUCUCCCACUAAGAGUCAGCAGACAGUUGAUAGCGAGCCGUCCAUCAAUAACACACUCCCUCCCCUAUUUAAUAAAUACUGUCUAUCCAACCAAGGGAGGGACGCUGGAUUGAGUGAACUCAGCCUACGGAAGGCGCCCGACCUAAGUAACAACUGUCUGUCUACCACAUACAUAUCAUCCAGCCAAGCAAUGGA